UAGGGAAUCUUCCGCAAUGGACGCAAGUCUGACGGAGCAACGCCGCGUGAGUGAAGAAGGAUUUCGGUUCGUAAAACUCUGUUGUUAGAGAAGAACAGCGCAUAGAGUAACUGUUAUGCGUGUGACGGUAUCUAACCAGAAAGCCACGGCUAACUACGUGCCAGCAGCCGCGGUAAUACGUAGGGCGCAAGCGUUAUCCGGAAUUAUUGGGCGUAAAGCGAGCGCAGGCGGUUAGAAAAGUCUGAAGUGAAAGGCAGUGGCUCAACCAUUGUAGGCUUUGGAAACUGUUUAACUUGAGUGCAGAAGGGGAGAGUGGAAUUCCAUGUGUAGCGGUGAAAUGCGUAGAUAUAUGGAGGAACACCGGUGGCGAAAGCGGCUCUCUGGUCUGUAACUGACGCUGAGGCUCGAAAGCGUGGGGAGCGAACAGG
RNAcentral lists this ribosomal RNA (428 nucleotides) under Bacteroidota bacterium. RNAcentral's name for it is "Bacteroidetes bacterium partial 16S ribosomal RNA". It matches the Rfam family "Bacterial small subunit ribosomal RNA", at positions 355 to 776 of the family's 1533-position model. Lineage: Bacteria; Pseudomonadati; Bacteroidota. The record is from RNAcentral.